AGUGAACGCUGGCGGUAGGCCUAACACAUGCAAGUCGAACGGCAGCACAGUAAGAGCUUGCUCUUACGGGUGGCGAGUGGCGGACGGGUGAGGAAUACAUCGGAAUCUACUUUUUCGUGGGGGAUAACGUAGGGAAACUUACGCUAAUACCGCAUACGACCUACGGGUGAAAGCAGGGGAUCUUCGGACCUUGCGCGAUUGAAUGAGCCGAUGUCGGAUUAGCUAGUUGGCGGGGUAAAGGCCCACCAAGGCGACGAUCCGUAGCUGGUCUGAGAGGAUGAUCAGCCACACUGGAACUGAGACACGGUCCAGACUCCUACGGGAGGCAGCAGUGGGGAAUAUUGGACAAUGGGCGCAAGCCUUAUCCAGCCAUACCGCGUGGGUUAAGAAGGCCUUCGGGUUGUAAAGCCCUUUUGUUGGGAAAGAAAAGCAGCAGGUUAAUACCCCGCUGUUCUGACGGUACCCAAAGAAUAAGCACCGGCUAACUUCGUG
Molecule: ribosomal RNA, 492 nt
Filed under: uncultured bacterium
Lineage: Bacteria
Description: partial 16S ribosomal RNA
Rfam family: Bacterial small subunit ribosomal RNA
Source: RNAcentral